GUGUUAAUUAACUUGAUUGCAGUGAUCAUUUCACAAAGUAUAGAUUUUGUCUUUUUAUUUGACAUAGAGAGAGAGAAGGACUCAAGCAGGGGGAGCAGCGGAGGGAGAGGAAGAAGCAGGUUCCCUGCUGAUCAAGGAGCCUGAAGCAGGCCUCGAUCCCAGGACCCCAGGGUCAUACCUGAGCUGAAGGCAGAUGCUUAACCAACUGAGCCACCCAAGCACCCCUAGAAACAUACUUAUAAGAAGAAAUUGCUAGAAUUUAAAACUGAGUAAGUAGCUCUAUUUUUUAAAGGCAUGUUCUACAUUUCUUGCCUUAACAUAGAUAAACUUAUUUCUA
Molecule: long non-coding RNA, 337 nt
Filed under: Mustela putorius furo (domestic ferret)
Lineage: Eukaryota; Metazoa; Chordata; Mammalia; Carnivora; Mustelidae
Description: lncRNA (ENSMPUG00000031273.1)
Source: RNAcentral